GCUUAGCAUAGCUUACAAAUAAUAAGCUCUAAAUAAAUUCUUAUUGAUGGAUUGAAACUCCUGUCAUGAUAGAACUGCUGCCUGACUUGCUCUACUGUACUUAACCAUAUGAAAGAGGAACCAAGAUCUAAGCCUCCAAUAAACAUGGUGGGCUUAAACAUCAGGAAUUUUUCUAUCCAGCUUUACCCAGGACAAGAGCCUUACCACCAUGACUUCUUUCAGGAACAGGCUUCAGAAGCCAGGAACCAUGUGUUUAUUCUUUGUUUAGGGCAACUUUGGAUCCUACAAUCACACAUUUCGAAUUAAAAGAGAUGUUAGAGACCAGUGAGUCCUACCCUUUCAUUCUGAGAAUGAAGAAACGGAGGCACAGAAAUGUUAAGUAAUUUGCUCCAAGUCUCACUACUAAAUUAUCCAAGGUUAAUGGACAACCAGUAUAUUUUUAAAAUAAUGGAGUUACACAAGCAUAAUGAGGGGCAGAAAAUAAUAACCAGGCUGCUUGCAUCACCAACAAAUGUGAAGGUAAGAAGAAAAGGGGAAGAACUGUUAAAAGAUGACUAUAAUAAUCUAAACGUGAGAGCAUGAGAAUGUGGACUUAUAUUUCAACUCUAGAGUGGCUAAGCAUUUUCUCAUUUUAGAAAUGUUAAAUAACUGAUGAUGACAUGACCUUGUUAGAGAACCAAUAUAGUAUGGGAGGGAGGAAACAGGUCCACGUCAAAAAUAACCUUGUGGAAGGACUAGGCAUAAUGGAACUGAAUUAACUCGGGUCAGCUGAAGGAACAAGGCUGCUGAGCCACCCGGUGGGGCUAUGCUCAAGUUGGUUUCACAAAGAACUGUAAUCAUUCGCCAGUCAUUUUCUGUUUUGCCUUAAUUGGAUCUAGCCGAUCUUUUCUAUGAACAGUUCCAGAACUAAGCUGGAGAUCUGUAGCUUUUACAGAGAGGAAGUGUGUUAUCACCAACGAGGACCAGGCUUGCUGAGAAAGGCUCAGAUUCAAGUCAUGAUGUGUACUAUGUACAGAUUGGCACACAUUUGAUGUGUAACCACUGAUACUGUAGUGGUUUGCCAUUUCCUUCUCCAGGUCAUUUUUGUAGAAGAGGAAACUGAGGCAAACAGGGUUAAGUGAUUUGCCCAGGGCCACUCUGUAGGAAGUUUCUGAGGUAUUUGAACUCAAGAAGAAGAGCUCUAUCCACUUCUCCACUUAGCUGUCCAUAUUGAUUAAGAGAACCUGAGUUGAAAAAUCCCAUUUAUAACCACCUCUCAGACAUAGCAGAAGAUGGCCAAAUUGUGAUACACAGCUGAGCUUUUUUCUGAUCAUCCAAAAUAUUAUGUCCAGAUCUACUAUUUUAGAAGGAAUUUCAACAGGCUAGAAAGUAUUCAGAAGAGGGAAACCAGAAGAUGAAAGAGUUAAAAACCCAGUAAUUUAAAGGAAUGGAAUAUUGUAGUGGAGAAACACUGAAUUUGGAUUAAAUCCAAACUAUGACUCUCCUAUUUA
Non-coding RNA from Monodelphis domestica (gray short-tailed opossum), 1490 nucleotides. The record is from RefSeq and is a predicted model, not a curated record. Lineage: Eukaryota; Metazoa; Chordata; Mammalia; Didelphimorphia; Didelphidae.